AGAGUUUGAUCCUGGCUCAGGAUGAACGCUGGCGGUCUGCUUAACACAUGCAAGUCGAACGGAACUCUUCGGAGUUCAGUGGCGAACGGGUGCGUAACACGUGGGCGACCUGCCGGGGCGCGGGGGACAACCCGGGGAAACCCGGGCUAAUACCGCAUGUGCUCAGGCGGCUUCAUGGCUGCUUGAGGAAACCUGCUUAACAGCAGGGUGCUCCGAGGGGCCCGCGGCGUAUCAGGUAGUUGGUGGGGUAACGGCUCACCAAGCCGACGACGCGUAGCUGGUCUCAGAGGACGACCGGCCACAUUGGGACUGAGACACGGCCCAGACUCCUACGGGAGGCAGCAGUGGGGAAUCUUGCGCAAUGGGCGAAAGCCUGACGCAGCCAUGCCGCGUGAAUGAUGAAGGUCUUAGGAUUGUAAAAUUCUUUCAGCAGGGACGAUAAUGACGGUACCUGCAGAAGAAGCCCCGGCUAACUUCGUGCCAGCAGCCGCGGUAAUACGUAGGGGGCGAGCGUUGUCCGAAGUUACUGGGCGUAAAGCGCGCGUAGGCGGUUGCCUAAGUCUGGGGUGAAAGGUUCAGGGCUUAACCCGAACAGUGCCUUGGAUACUGGGCGACUUGAGUGCCGAAGAGGAAAGCGGAAUUCCUGGUGUAGCGGUGAAAUGCGUAGAUAUCAGGAGGAACACCGAUGGCGAAGGCAGCUUUCUGGUCGGUAACUGACGCUGAGGUGCGAAAGCGUGGGGAGCGAACGGGAUUAGAUACCCCCGUAGUCC
RNAcentral lists this ribosomal RNA (770 nucleotides) under uncultured soil bacterium. Its description in RNAcentral is "bacterial SSU rRNA". It matches the Rfam family "Bacterial small subunit ribosomal RNA", at positions 8 to 796 of the family's 1533-position model. The record is from RNAcentral.